Halichondria panicea is the source of this 346-nucleotide long non-coding RNA. RefSeq lists it as uncharacterized. Lineage: Eukaryota; Metazoa; Porifera; Demospongiae; Suberitida; Halichondriidae. The transcript is spliced from 3 exons. The record is from RefSeq and is a predicted model, not a curated record.
CACACACACACAAGAUGGAGACUGCUGGUGAGGAAAAGCAUUCACUUGUCCUUCCCUCUAUGAGCUUCUACAAGGCUGGAUAUCGGGUGGAUACUCCUCCAAAAGACCAGCAGCAAUGGAUCACAAGGCAAAGAGCAUCGCAACGAGUACAAUGAUGGAGAGCACGAGAGGGGCGGAGUCAGUGACCAGUUGCUAUGACAACAUAUGAUGGAGGACUUACAAGGUGACACUGUGGAGUUUGCGUACAACCCAUUGGACGUCUUGCACUGCAGAUAAAGGAACACAAUUAAGAAAUAAUUCGUGAGGGUCAGUUGUUCACUCUGUUGGAUGCUGAUGAUGAUCAACC